Molecule: non-coding RNA, 5315 nt
Organism: Xyrichtys novacula (pearly razorfish)
Lineage: Eukaryota; Metazoa; Chordata; Actinopteri; Labriformes; Labridae
Source: the annotation of a GenBank genome assembly
UUUGAGCAUGUGUAAUGGCAUGAAUGUGUUGAAUUAGUAAUCCCUUGUGUUAAGCUGUUGUUUUAGUGUUCUUUUGAUGAGUUUGGCUUGUUGUUAGGGCCCGAGCCAGCUGCAGAGCAGCCGGGCGUAGGCCCUUUUAUUCCUGUAGUGGUUUUUAGGGCCCGAGCGUAGCUGCUAAGCAGCUGUGAGAGCCCUCUUGUUCCUGAUGGAUUCUUCUUUUGUUAUUAUUAUUAUUAUUAUUAUUUUUCCUCCUCUUUAAACUGGAAAAUGGCCCACUUCCCACUGGCGAAAACUCAGGAAAUUUGGCAGGACGACCGGGCCUGGUGAAAAAUUCGAUAUUCUGAAGUCGCCCAAACAAUAAAAUACAAAAUGGCUCCAUAGCGCCCCCUAAGGUGAAAAUUCACACUAUUGACUGUCACGCCUGUACGCUUUGUCAUAUUGACACAAAAAUUGACACACACAUGUAUCUCCAUAAGAUCUAUGAAAAAGUCAGUGCGGGCGUAUCUGUCAAAUGUACGGUUAAAGGCACACAUUGGAAUUUCACUAACUCCUCCGAAGGCUUUCGGUCCACCGGCACCACAUUUGCUCAGGCCAAUCUACACUCCAUGGCCAUUCAAAGUUGUACAAAUCGUGAUGCUGCACCCCAUGGUUUAGGUUCUAGGGGGCGCCAAAAAUAACCCUAAAAUCCACAUUCUUAAAAGUUUUAUAACUUUUUAUUUUUGCCCUCACUGGCCUCCAAGUUUUCUAGGAUGAUGCAAUGUCCAGCCAUCAACACAUUUGUGAAGGAAUUUUUACUCCCCAAAAGAGCGCCCCCCCCCCAUGGCAGGACAAAAAAGUCAAUUUUUUCUUGUCCCUUAAGGUGAAAAUACACAUUGUUGAAUGACACGCCUGUACGCUUUGUCAUAUUGACACAAAAUUUGACAAUCACGUGUAUCUCAAUAAGAUCUACGAAAAAGUCAAUGCGCGCGUAUCUGUAAAAUGUACGGUUAAAGGGCUAUUUCGCAUUUUUUGCCGAUUCGCACACAUUGGAAUGUGGCUAACUCCUCCUAAGGCUUUCGUCCCACUGACACCAAAUUUGCUCAGGCCAAUCUACACCCCAUGGCCAUUCAAAGUUGUAAAAAUCAUGACGCUGCACCCCAUGGUCUACGUUCUAGGGGGCGCCAAAGAGGACCCAAAUAUCCACAUUUUUAAAGUCUUAUAACUUUUUAUUUUUGUCCUCACUGGCCUCCAAGUUUUCUAGGAUGAUGCAAUGUCCAGCCAUCAACACAUUUGUGAAGGAAUUUUUUCUCCCCAAAAGAGCGCCCCCCCAUGGCAGGAGAAAAAGUCAAGUUUUUCCUGCCCAUCGCUCAAUGGCUCAAACGCAUCGCUCUCUCGGCAAAACCGAAAGGAGGAGCAACUUGCCAUUUGGAUAUAUACUAGCUGUGUUUGUGCCCUCACUCAUGGUCCAGAAUUUUUUCAAAAAGGACAUGGAGUUUGUCUGCAGCGAGCGUUUUGGUAGAAACUGCGCCUCCCAUUCAUUAUAAUGGUAAAUGACCACAGACAAGUGCGCACACCAUCUUUGGACCUUGAGUGUGACGCGAUCGGGAGGGGUAGGCGGUCGCGCUGGGGGCGGUGUGACACGGCUCGGGCCCGCCAGUGCCCCACCGGGGCCCUAGUUCUUUGUUUCUUUUUUCUUUUUCCUCCCCUUUGAACUGGAAAAUGGCCCACUUCCCACUGGCGAAAACUCAUGAAAUUUGGCAGGACGACCGGGCCUGGUGAAAAAUUUGAUAUUCUGAAGUCGCCCAAACAAUACAAUGCAAAAUGGCUCCAUAGCGCCCCCUAAGGUGAAAAAUUCACCUGACGCCUGUACGCUUUGUCAAAAUGACAGAAAAAUUGACACACACAUGUAUCUCAAUAAGAUCUACAAAAAAGUCAGUGCGGGCGUAUCUGUCAAAUGUACAGUUAAAGGGUUAUUCCGCAUUUUUUGCAGAUCCGCACACAUUGGAAUUUCGCUAACUCCUCCGAAGGCUUUCGUUCCACCGGCACCACAUUUGCUCAGGCCAAUCUACACCCCAUGGCCAUUAAAAGUUAUUCAAAUCAUGACGCUGCACCCCACGGUUUAGGUUCUAUGGGGCGCCAAAGAUAACCCUAAAAUCCACAUAUUUAAAAGUCUUAUAACUUUUUAUUGUUGUCCCCACUGGCCUCCAAGUUUUCUAGGAUGAUGCAAUGUCCAGCCAUCAACACAUUUGUGAAGGAAUUUUUACUCGCCAAAAGAGCGCCCCCCCAUGGCAGGAGAAAAAAGUCCAUUUUUUCUUGUCCACUAAGGUGAAAAUACACAUUGUUGAGUGCUACGCCUGUAUGUUUUGUCGUAUUGACACAAAAUUUUACAUACAUGUGUAUUUCAAUAAGAUCUACGAAAAAGUCAAUGGGCACGUAUCUGUAAAAUGUAUGGUUAAAGGGCAAUUUCGCAGUUUUUGGCGAUUUGCACACAUUGGAAUUUCGCUAACUCCUCUGAAGGCUUAAGUUCCACUGUCACCAAAGUUGCUCAGGCUAAUCUACACUCCAUGGCCAUUCAAAGUUGUAAAAAUCGUGACGCUGCACCCCACGGUUUAUGUUUUAGGGGGCGCCAAAGAUGACCCAAAUAUACAUUACAGUAGACAAAGUAGUUUUGCCCACUGAGUGGCGCCAAAGGGACUUGUCUGUGGAGUCUGUGAGUCACUAUUGGCCGUUUUUGACUACUUUAGAUUUUACCUUUAUAUUUCCUCUUACAAAAUUUUACCUUGCCUUGCCUGGUAUCAUUUUUUUCAGCACAACCUCACCUGUGUCAAUUUACAGUUAUUUUAUCAUUUUGACAUACUAUAUUUACACAUUGGACCCAAAUUCACACAUAAAACAUAAAAUCCGAGUGGAAAAAAGUAACGUUUUUACUGUGAAAACCACAAAUAUGUGUGAUGAACUGUUUUUAAAACUUUAACUUCAAAUAAAAAUUGUAAACUUCAAAACAUAUGCAAAUUUUUAACAAAGAACAUAGUAAUUUACCUCUAUUUACAUCAAAAUGCAGGCAAUGGCCCAGGCGUUCUUUGUAAAAUUAUUUACAAAACACUGUAUAGUCUCACAAAUGUCACUUUUUAUUUAUGCCACUACAAAAAAACAUGAUGUAAAUGAUGCAUGAUGUAAAACAUGAUGUAAAAAACUUGUGUAGAUCCUCCUCUAUGUUAGUCCAUGUGUAAUUUUUCCAUAAUUCUUUGUUUUUUGCAGCAUUUUUGUUAGUGUAACUGCAGAUUGUGCUGACAGUGUCUGUGGCAAAAAAAAAAAAAAAAAAAAAACUGAAAAUGCCUCAACAUGAACCCCUGGUGGUCUCUGAGGGUGAAACCUGCUAACUGCUGCAGCUCUGUCAGCUUCAGUCUCCCAUGCAGAGCUCGGAGCGCAUGUGUGGCUCUGCACCCUUAGCAGCGUUGCUAACUCCUCAGUAAGGAAAGCCUGCUUCAUGUCAGAGUCUCUAAACUCCAGAACUCCAGAAGAAGUCGAUAAAAGUCCCUUUCUUUCUAAAAAAAAGUCAUUAGGGGGUCUGAAAAGUCAUUGAAUCUAACAACAAAGUCGCUAGGUUUGCAACUACGUGUCCCAGACUGCAUCCCUGCUGAGAGUCCCUCCCUCCCUUCUCAAGUUGCAGGAAGAACGCGAGCGCCCGUCCCGUGUCAAUCAGUCACCAUAUAAUUUUGGAUUGGUUGUUGUGGUGAAGUUUUCCAACAAUAGGAGAGAUCUUGUGGUGUGUUUUUUUCUUUUCUUUUGGCAAGUCUUUUCCGCCUGUAAGAGCUGUCGCUAAUGUCUGCAUGCUAUGUUUUCCUGUCUCAUACAGCGCGAUCGAGCGCCGAACGUGAUCAAAAUAAGCAGAAAAAAAGUAUUGCAGACAUAAUUUAUCAUAACUCUGGUUUUAUUUGGCCUAUCAACACAAUUUAAAAACUGGUAUAUAGUUUGAGGUCCUCACUUUUAAGAUAGGUUGAAACGGAGAAUCAACGAGGCUCCGUCUUGCAGCUACAUCCGGUUAAAUAUGUCAUGUGACUUGAACGCUGGGGAACGUCAAUCGACUGCAGAGCCAGCAGACAAAGUAGUUAUGGCCACUGAGAGGCACACAUUUGUCAUAUGCUAUAAUCCUAACAUAUUUAAAUGCUUUUUCUAUUUAAACCUAAUGGAUCUAAGCUUUGACCUUCAAAAUUUAGGAAGAAUAUGUUUUUGCAGUAAUGACCCCCUUAAACAACCAGAGGUCCUUUCCUAAAGUUUAUGGAAAUUUUAGUGAAGGCCUUGGUUUCUUUCCUUGCAAAAUGUAUAGAAAUAAUAAGGCUAAAUACCAUAAAAUGGUCUUGGCGUAUUAGCAGUGAUAUAAAAUAGUGGUUUGAAUAUGAAUGAACAACAAAAAAAAAAACCAUCAACAGAGCCUUUUUGAGUUGGGAUUCUUUCAUUAUCACACAAAAACAGACAUAGACAGACAUCUAAAGGGUAAGGGAAUGAUCAGCCCUCCUAACUCUCAGAUGAAUCUUCAAAAUUCACCUCAGAAAUAUGCUUAUUAUUCUUCUCAGAGUACUGCAGGACACACACACACACACACACACACACACACACACACACACACACACACACACACACACACACACACACACACACACACACACACUCAGAGUCUUUUUUUUUAGCACCUGCAAAAACUUGUUAUUAACAUAUUUGACAAGAAUGCAGAGGCUCCUUUUGCCCCUGAAAAAAAUCAGAUUUCGAACACAACUUGACUGGUCAUUUCUCCAAAAGACAACCAUGAAGCUCCAUCCAAACCUGAAGCAGGCAGUUGGUGCAUGUGUACAGUAACCUGAGGGGAGUGAGGUCACUGCUUCUGAGGAGAACAUGAGCAGUGAAGAUUCACCUUGGAGCUACAACAGGGAAGUGCACAUGAUAAUACAGGGGCAGGGGCUCAAGUUUUUUCCAGUCAUUUAUACAAUAUGGAAAUUAAUGUGAAAUUAAAAACAAAGUAUUAAUAGAAAGGUAAUGACUGUCCUGUGUAGGUGACAGUGAUAUCCAAUAGGCUAGGCACUCACGAGGCUGGCUGUGGCAAGUGUAAGUGAAAGCAACACGGACUGGCAGGAAGAACAGCAAACACCGAUGAAGGAAAAGGGUCUUUGCAGUGAUGGGCGUUACCAGAGAGGGCGAUGGCCAGAGGACGCGAAUGGGACGGGGAGGCAGCGCGUUGGGGGGGGGGGGGGGGGGGGGGGGGGGGGCACAUGGCUCGGGCCCGCCAGUGCCCCAACGGGGCCCUAGUUAUGAAAAGUUUUUGUUUUGGCGAGUUUGAACGU